Molecule: ribosomal RNA, 253 nt
Filed under: uncultured bacterium
Lineage: Bacteria
Description: partial 16S ribosomal RNA
Rfam family: Bacterial small subunit ribosomal RNA
Source: RNAcentral
UACGUAGGGGGCUAGCGUUGUCCGGAAUCAUUGGGCGUAAAGCGCGCGUAGGCGGCCCGGUAAGUCCGCUGUGAAAGUCAAAGGCUCAACCUUUGAAUGUCAGCGGAUACUGCCGGGCUAGAGUCCGGAAGAGGCGAGUGGAACUCCUGGUGUAGCGGUGAAAUGCGCAGAUAUCAGGAAGAACACCCGUGGCGAAGGCGAGUCCCUGGACAACACCUGACACUGAGGCACGAAAGCUAGGGGAGCAAACAGG